GGGUGGUUAGCUCAGCUGGGAGAGCAACUCGUUUACACCGAGUAGGUCGGGGGUUCGAGCCCCUCACCACCCA
Molecule: transfer RNA, 73 nt
Filed under: SAR116 cluster alpha proteobacterium HIMB100
Lineage: Bacteria; Pseudomonadati; Pseudomonadota; Alphaproteobacteria; Puniceispirillales (SeqCode)
Source: RNAcentral